This 676-nucleotide ribosomal RNA is filed under the name uncultured bacterium. RNAcentral describes it as "bacterial SSU rRNA". It matches the Rfam family "Bacterial small subunit ribosomal RNA", at positions 8 to 694 of the family's 1533-position model. The record is from RNAcentral.
AGAGUUUGAUCCUGGCUCAGGACGAACGCUGGCGGUGUGCUUCACACAUGCAAGUCGAGCGAAUGAAGAAGGUAGCUUGCUACUUUCGGAUUUAGCGGCGGACGGGUGAGUAAUAUAUAGGAAUCUGCCCUAGAGCGGGGAACAACAGACCGAAAGGUUUGCUAAUGCCCCAUAGGUACGCAGUCUUCGGAUUGUUUAUUAAAGGAGUAAUCCACUCUAGGAUGAGCCUGUAUCCGAUUAGCUAGUUGGCGGGGUAAAGGCCCACCAAGGCUACGAUCGGUAGUUGGUCUGAGAGGAUGAUCAGCCACAAUGGGACUGAGACACGGCCCAUACUCCUACGGGAGGCAGCAGUGGGGAAUUUUACACAAUGGGGGAAACCCUGAUGUAGCGACACCGCGUGAACGAAGAAGCCUUUUGGGGUGUAAAGUUCUGUCGGCUGGAACGAAAAAAAUGACGGUACCAGCAAAGGAAGCAUCGGCUAACUACGUGCCAGCAGCCGCGGUAAGACGUAGGAUGCAAGCGUUGUCCGGAUUUAUUGGGCGUAAAGAGUUCGUAGGCGGUUAUUUAAGUCUGGUGUUAAAUACUGUGGCCCAACCACAGAACUGCAUUGGAUACUGGAUGACUUGAGUGCGGUAGAGGCGAGUGGAAUUCCCAGUGUAGCGGUGAAAUGCGUAGA